This 465-nucleotide ribosomal RNA is filed under the name Vreelandella stevensii. RNAcentral's name for it is "partial 16S ribosomal RNA". It matches the Rfam family "Bacterial small subunit ribosomal RNA", at positions 338 to 795 of the family's 1533-position model. The record is from RNAcentral. Lineage: Bacteria; Pseudomonadati; Pseudomonadota; Gammaproteobacteria; Oceanospirillales; Halomonadaceae.
CCUACGGGGAGCUGCAGUGGGGAAUAUUGGACAAUGGGCGAAAGCCUGAUCCAGCCAUGCCGCGUGUGUGAAGAAGGCCUUCGGGUUGUAAAGCACUUUCAGUGGGGAAGAAAGCCUUGGGGCUAAUACCCUCGAGGAAGGACAUCACCCACACAAGAAGCACCGGCUAACUCCGUGCCAGCAGCCGCGGUAAUACGGAGGGUGCGAGCGUUAAUCGGAAUUACUGGGCGUAAAGCGCGCGUAGGCGGUCUGAUAAGCCGGUUGUGAAAGCCCCGGGCUCAACCUGGGAACGGCAUCCGGAACUGUCAGGCUAGAGUGCAGGAGAGGAAGGUAGAAUUCCCGGUGUAGCGGUGAAAUGCGUAGAGAUCGGGAGGAAUACCAGUGGCGAAGGCGGCCUUCUGGACUGACACUGACGCUGAGGUGCGAAAGCGUGGGUAGCAAACAGGAUUAGAUACCCCGGUAGUC